This is a long non-coding RNA of Oncorhynchus masou masou (cherry salmon), 936 nucleotides long. RefSeq lists it as uncharacterized. Lineage: Eukaryota; Metazoa; Chordata; Actinopteri; Salmoniformes; Salmonidae. The transcript has 4 exons. The record is from RefSeq and is a predicted model, not a curated record.
CAGAGAGAGCCACAGAAUGGGAGGAGAACCAGAGAAAAAUGCAGAUCAACAGACUCAAACAACUGCUGGAUCUACUGAUGGUGGACCUACAACUGGCCCACUCAGAGAGAGAGAGAAGAUAAGAGGCAACGAAAAGAGAGGAGAUGGCAGAAGAGGAAAGAAGGGAGAUCCUUGAGUACAAGAGGGGUGACUUAGAGGAGAAGGAAGAGGACAAGGAGGACAUUCUCCCACCUGACAAAAGUAUCCGAAGGAGAGCUGUGGGCUGGAUAAAUAAGAAGUGGGAGAAGAGGAACCUCAGAAAGAUAGAGAGAACGUAUCAGAGAGAGGCUGAGGAGGGCUAUAAGAUCGUCCACAUAGAAGAACCAGCAGGAGGGGCCAGAGAACCAACAGGAGGGGCCAGACAGCCAGCAGCUUGAAGCUCCAGAAGAGAUUGAAACAUCAGAGCCAAUCUCCAAGAACAAGAAAAAGCCAAGCAUCUGGAAGAAAAUUAGGAUGGGUCAACAAGUGAUGAGCCAGAGCAACCAAUCAACAUCACUGCAGCUGUUCUACCCACCACCCCCUCUGCUCUUCCUCCACAAGCAACCUCAUCCUCUUCUCCUGUUCAACUAAUGUGUCGCCCUAGAAAGGACUGUACAUACAGUUGAAGUCGGAAGUUUACAUACACUUAGGUUGGAGUCGUGAAAACUCAUUUUUCAACCACUCCACAACUUUCUUGUUAACAAACUAUAGUUUUGGUAAGUUGUUUAGGACAUCUACUUUGUGCAUGAAACAAGUAAUUUUUCCCCCAAAAAUGUACCGACAGAUUAUUUCACUUAUGAUGAACUGUAUCACAAUUUCAGUGGGUCAGAAGUUUACAUAAAACCUGUUAAGACUAGGCAUAAUACUGCCCCCUUUGGAUGAAUUGCGUGCCCAUAGUAAACUGAAAACAAUUCUGUC